UUAACUUAUUAUAAUAUUACUCAGACAAUACAAAAAUCAAGAGUUUAGGUCCUCUGGCAGACACGGACCAGCUUAAAGCCAGUAGUCAAAAGACAGGCCUGCCAAAGCAACAAAGGUAAUAUAAACAAAGGGUGGGAGAUCUACCCCAAAGGGCAAUUUCUCUGUAAUGAUCCUUCCGCAGGUUCACCUACGGAAA
RNAcentral lists this unclassified non-coding RNA (196 nucleotides) under uncultured fungus. RNAcentral describes it as "sequence contains ITS1". The record is from RNAcentral. Lineage: Eukaryota; Fungi.